Molecule: unclassified non-coding RNA, 243 nt
Filed under: uncultured fungus
Lineage: Eukaryota; Fungi
Description: partial contains 5.8S ribosomal RNA, internal transcribed spacer 2, and large subunit ribosomal RNA
Source: RNAcentral
AACGCACAUUGCGCCCGCCCCUUAAAGGGCGGGCAUGCCUGUCCGAGCGUCGUGUCAACCCUCAAGCUCGUCUUGGUGUUGGGGACCCGCGCGAUGCGCGGCCCCCGAAAUGCAGUGGCGGCCUCGACCGCGGCCCGAGCGCAGUAACGUCUCGCCGGGAGCCGCGGGCGCUGGAUCCAGCCGUAAAGCAGCAAUUGUUUAACCAAUGACCUCGGAUCAGGUAGGAAUACCCGCUGAACUUAA